UACGAAGGGGGCUAGCGUUGCUCGGAAUUACUGGGCGUAGAGGGCGCGUAGGCGGAUAGUUUAGUCAGAGGUAAAAGCCCAGGGCUCAACCUUGGAACUGCCUUUGAUACUGGCUAUCUUGAGUACGGGAGAGGUGUGUGGAACUCCGAGUGUAGAGGUGAAAUUCGUAGAUAUUCGGAAGAACACCAGUGGCGAAGGCGACACACUGGCCCGUUACUGACGCUGAGGCGCGAAAGCGUGGGGAGCAAACAGG
Molecule: ribosomal RNA, 253 nt
Filed under: uncultured bacterium
Lineage: Bacteria
Description: partial 16S ribosomal RNA
Rfam family: Bacterial small subunit ribosomal RNA
Source: RNAcentral